Molecule: ribosomal RNA, 497 nt
Filed under: uncultured bacterium
Lineage: Bacteria
Description: partial 16S ribosomal RNA
Rfam family: Bacterial small subunit ribosomal RNA
Source: RNAcentral
GAUGAACGCUGGCGGCGUGCCUAAUACAUGCAAGUCGAGCGAACAGACGAGGAGCUUGCUCCUCUGACGUUAGCGGCGGACGGGUGAGUAACACGUGGAUAACCUACCUAUAAGACUGGGAUAACUUCGGGAAACCGGAGCUAAUACCGGAUAAUAUAUUGAACCGCAUGGUUCAAUAGUGAAAGACGGUUUUGCUGUCACUUAUAGAUGGAUCCGCGCCGCAUUAGCUAGUUGGUAAGGUAACGGCUUACCAAGGCAACGAUGCGUAGCCGACCUGAGAGAGUGAUCGGCCACACUGGAACUGAGACACGGUCCAGACGCCUACGGGAGGCAGCAGUAGGGAAUCUUCCGCAAUGGGCGAGAGCCUGACGGAGCAACGCCGCGUGAGUGAUGAAGGUCUUCGGAUCGUAAAACUUUGUUAUUAGGGAAGAACAAAUGUGUAAGUAACUAUGCACGUCUUGACGGUAACUAAUCAGAAAGCCACGGCUAACUACGUG